RNAcentral lists this long non-coding RNA (495 nucleotides) under Lathyrus oleraceus (garden pea). Its description in RNAcentral is "Pisum sativum (pea) long non-coding RNA (PSAT_LNC005732)". The record is from RNAcentral. Lineage: Eukaryota; Viridiplantae; Streptophyta; Magnoliopsida; Fabales; Fabaceae.
GCAAUAAGAUGACAACAAAAGCACAGCAGACUCAAAGCGACACCAACAUUGAUUUAUUGACAGUAAACAAUCCAAAAUUAGCUACUCUGUUAAUGUGCAGCAAUUCCAUUUUUUUUAUAUUUCUAUUGUUAUUUUGGGAUGAGGGUUAAACCUGUUUGUGACAUGUAAACAAUGAUAAUACGGCUGUUAUCCCAUUUGGUUUAUUUCCAAGAUUGGAUCGUGUUGGUUUCAUUUAGCAGGAGAAAAGUUUCAAGCAUUUCGUCGUUAUGAUAAUGAAGUCUUUAUUCCAUCAUUGUUUUGGUUGCAUUAUGCUUCGGUUUUUGACAGACAAUUUGAUUGAAUCUUAAAAUCAAAUUGGUGUAUUAUGCCUCGGUAUUCUUCUCAAUAGAUGAUUUUGGUAUAUUCUGUCAAAGUUACUCACACCUUAUUUUGGUCAUAAGUCAAAUAUGCAUGAUAUGAUUAGAUUUAAGUGAUCUUAUAAAUUACAAAUAUUUU